AGAGUUUGAUCCUGGCUCAGAACAAACGCUGGCGGCAGGCUUAACACAUGCAAGUCGAGCGCGUGAGCAAUCACGAGCGGCAGACGGGUGAGUAACGCGUGGGAAUCUACCUAUCUCUACGGAAUAACGCAUGGAAACGUGUGCUAAUACCGUAUACGCCCUCAGGGGGAAAGAUUUAUCGGAGAUGGAUGAGCCCGCGUUGGAUUAGCUAGUUGGUGGGGUAAAGGCCUACCAAGGCGACGAUCCAUAGCUGGUCUGAGAGGAUGAUCAGCCACAUUGGGACUGAGACACGGCCCAAACUCCUACGGGAGGCAGCAGUGGGGAAUAUUGCACAAUGGGGGAAACCCUGAUGCAGCAACGCCGCGUGAGUGAUGACGGUCUUCGGAUUGUAAAACUCUGUCUUUGGGGACGAUAAUGACGGUACCCAAGGAGGAAGCCACGGCUAACUACGUGCCAGCAGCCGCGGUAAU
RNAcentral lists this ribosomal RNA (470 nucleotides) under uncultured bacterium. Its description in RNAcentral is "bacterial SSU rRNA". It matches the Rfam family "Bacterial small subunit ribosomal RNA", at positions 8 to 524 of the family's 1533-position model. The record is from RNAcentral.